Molecule: ribosomal RNA, 1412 nt
Filed under: Enterococcus sp.
Lineage: Bacteria; Bacillati; Bacillota; Bacilli; Lactobacillales; Enterococcaceae
Description: bacterial SSU rRNA
Rfam family: Bacterial small subunit ribosomal RNA
Source: RNAcentral
CAGUCGUACGCUUCUUUUUCCCCGGAGCUUGCUCCACCGGAAAAAGAAGAGUGGCGAACGGGUGAGUAACACGUGGGUAACCUGCCCAUCAGAAGGGGAUAACACUUGGAAACAGGUGCUAAUACCGUAUAACAAUCGAAACCGCAUGGUUUUGAUUUGAAAGGCGCUUUCGGGUGUCGCUGAUGGAUGGACCCGCGGUGCAUUAGCUAGUUGGUGAGGUAACGGCUCACCAAGGCCACGAUGCAUAGCCGACCUGAGAGGGUGAUCGGCCACAUUGGGACUGAGACACGGCCCAAACUCCUACGGGAGGCAGCAGUAGGGAAUCUUCGGCAAUGGACGAAAGUCUGACCGAGCAACGCCGCGUGAGUGAAGAAGGUUUUCGGAUCGUAAAACUCUGUUGUUAGAGAAGAACAAGGAUGAGAGUAACUGUUCAUCCCUUGACGGUAUCUAACCAGAAAGCCACGGCUAACUACGUGCCAGCAGCCGCGGUAAUACGUAGGUGGCAAGCGUUGUCCGGAUUUAUUGGGCGUAAAGCGAGCGCAGGCGGUUUCUUAAGUCUGAUGUGAAAGCCCCCGGCUCAACCGGGGAGGGUCAUUGGAAACUGGGAGACUUGAGUGCAGAAGAGGAGAGUGGAAUUCCAUGUGUAGCGGUGAAAUGCGUAGAUAUAUGGAGGAACACCAGUGGCGAAGGCGGCUCUCUGGUCUGUAACUGACGCUGAGGCUCGAAAGCGUGGGGAGCAAACAGGAUUAGAUACCCUGGUAGUCCACGCCGUAAACGAUGAGUGCUAAGUGUUGGAGGGUUUCCGCCCUUCAGUGCUGCAGCUAACGCAUUAAGCACUCCGCCUGGGGAGUACGACCGCAAGGUUGAAACUCAAAGGAAUUGACGGGGGCCCGCACAAGCGGUGGAGCAUGUGGUUUAAUUCGAAGCAACGCGAAGAACCUUACCAGGUCUUGACAUCCUUUGACCACUCUAGAGAUAGAGCUUCCCCUUCGGGGGCAAAGUGACAGGUGGUGCAUGGUUGUCGUCAGCUCGUGUCGUGAGAUGUUGGGUUAAGUCCCGCAACGAGCGCAACCCUUAUUGUUAGUUGCCAUCAUUCAGUUGGGCACUCUAGCAAGACUGCCGGUGACAAACCGGAGGAAGGUGGGGAUGACGUCAAAUCAUCAUGCCCCUUAUGACCUGGGCUACACACGUGCUACAAUGGGAAGUACAACGAGUCGCGAAGUCGCGAGGCUAAGCUAAUCUCUUAAAGCUUCUCUCAGUUCGGAUUGUAGGCUGCAACUCGCCUACAUGAAGCCGGAAUCGCUAGUAAUCGCGGAUCAGCACGCCGCGGUGAAUACGUUCCCGGGCCUUGUACACACCGCCCGUCACACCACGAGAGUUUGUAACACCCGAAGUCGGUGAGGUAACCUUUG